GCGCGGGCUGGGAGCGCCGGCAAGGGCGGCCCUCGCGCACCUGGCUGCCAGCCCGCAGGGGGCUCGCACGCAGACCUGCCCUUGCCACCUCAGCGCUCGGGUGCGGGCUGGGGGCGGUGGAGCCACGAAAGGUGGUGCCGAGAGCGGAGCGCAGGACAGCGCAGGAGCCCCGGCGCAUCGCGGCGCGCACAGACCCAGGAUUUGUGAAGAGGUGACCCAAAUUUCAAGACAAUGUUGGAUGCAAACGGAUUUGCCAGCAACUGCAUCACUGUCAAAACCAGCUCUGCCCGUGUCUUCCGAAGAUACCAAGUGAAAUACAUGUAGAUGGGAUUUACAUCUGAAAAACCAAGUGAGAAACUGAAGACCAGAGAGGGUGAGUGGUUUACUCAGUUUGGCACAACUGACCCCAACCUAGCCCUCCAUGAGGACUGAGCGCAUGAGAGAUCCUGAGCCACAGCCGCCCAGCCCUGCUCCUCUCGAAUUUCUGACCUACAGGAACUGCAAGAAGUAAUGAAAGACUGCUGUUUAAAGCCACUGCAUUUUGGCAUGAUUUGUUAUGCAGUCGUAGAUAACCAGAAAACAUCGGAUUUACAUUUUAAGGAUUACUUCAUGCACAUAAAAGAAAACGCAACUACAGUGGACCCUGAACAACGUAGGAAACAGAGAAGCAAAGAAGUUAGCAAGCUUGUUUUGGCAGAAGAAAAAACACAAAAUACCCAACCACAGAUCCUCAAAAAUAUUGCUAAGCACUAAUUUUGCUAACAUGUUAGACAGCCUUCGGAUCUAGGCAAUCUUGUUCCUCAGCUGGAAAGAGUUCCUGCCAGCCAUGUGAUUCCAAAUCCACCCUGGACAUAUGGGGAUAAUGAGAAAAUCAGCUCCGGCCUUCCCUGGCCUUCCAGCCAAGUGAAUGGGGGCAUCCCCUGGUGCUUCAGCCCGGGGCCCACCCAGAGGAUGCUAGCUGGCCUGCAGAGGCCUCAACCAUGCCCUCCUGGACUCAGGUAAGACUGAGGUUUCCAUGCCCUCAAAACAAUUGUUCAGACAAAAACUCACUGCCCAGGUCAAAGUCACAGCACCAGAAAGCCAACCUGAGGAUGAAGACAAAGCUCUUUGUUGGCACAGUCCCCUGAUCAUUCGAGGUCAGCAUCUCCAUCAAAAUGGACCCAAUGCUGAGGCAAGAAGGAGAACAUCACUGUUAAGAAGAUGGAAAAUGCAUUUGAGGUGGACUGAACACAGCCAGGAGUUUUUGCUUAUCGACAGCACUGAAUCCUGCCUUGACUAGAGAGACUCGUCAUGUGAUCAACUGUGGCCAGAGGGCAUCCUGCAGACAGCUCCUGUCACACCACACUGACCAGACUCUUAUGAGUAUUUAAGCAUCUUCAGGGAAGCGAUUGACUGUCUUAUAAUGGUCUUACAAGUACGGAACUUUAUUACCUGCUAAUAAUCAGAGCACAUGAUGGCACAAUAGAAUAUACGAGUGAAGUUCUAAAUGCAAGGUUGUUCUUAUUCUGUGAGUGGCAAAACUCAUGCAGUGAGCAGAUAAAGCUGGCAGGAGGCAUUGGCGCCCUAAUGCUGGGCACUAACCACCUGCCCGGACUGCGAAUAUCUGUUGGGUCCUUUCUAUAUCUGGUCUAUUCUCGUGUUUGAUUAUAUCCUGGUGGCAAGAAUAGCAAAAUCAACUCUCCUUCCUAUCCCAUGUGGAGAGGCAUGAUUUGAGUCAGAGAGCAUUAUCCUCUCUGCGUUAUCCAACCCCAUGUCCCAUGAUGCACUUUGUAGACAAGCAAGUGUCCCUGGUGGAGAAUCCACAGCCACACAUCCUCAUUGGUUGCAAGGAUCAGUGUCCAAUAUCUACUGCCAUGAUCAUUCUCAGUUUUACAUCCACAGAGCUUCAUAGAAUUCUAACACCACAGGUCCAAGUAGAGGUUUUGGCCUCAGAGUGGGCUAGAUUCCACCUCUGACAGCAGCUGUGGGACUGUUUUUCCAUCUGUAAAAUGGAGACAAGAGUAUCACCUACCUCAUGGUGUUGGUGGGAUCGUUAAACAGAAUUCCGAUCAUGAAACCCUUAGCCUGCUCCCUGCAUAGGCUGCAUGCGCUCAGUGAGCUAUGGCUCUGUUUCAUGCUGACUUUACCAUCAUGUAAGCAGUUUUAAAAAUGCUAGAAGCUUUAGUCAUAGAAUUACCAUAUGAUACAGCCUACUGCAGAGUCCAGAGGCUGAGGCAGGAGAGUUACUUGAACCUGGGAGGCGGAGGUUGCAGUGAGCCAAGAUCGCGCCACUGCACUCCAGCCUGGGCAACAGAGUGAGAUUCUGUCUCAACACAAAAAAGAAGACAUGUGUCCCCAUCACAGUAUCAUACAGAGUGCUUCCACUGCCCUAAAAUACCCUGUGCUCUUCCUAUUCAUCCCUCUCUUCAACCCCAGCAACCACUGAUCCUUUUACCAUCUCCAUGGUUUUGCCUUUCCCAGAAUGUCAUAUUGUUGGAAUCAUACGCUAUGUAGCCUUUGCAAAUGGGCUUCUUUCACCGAGCAAUGUGCAUUGAAGGUGCCUCUAUGACUUUUCAAGGGUUGAUAGCUCAUUCCUUUUUAUUGCUAAAUAAUAUUCCAUUGUCUGAAUGUACCACAUUUUGUUUAUCCAUUCACCUACUAAAGGACAUCUUGGUUGCUUCCAAGUUUGGGC
Molecule: long non-coding RNA, 2671 nt
Filed under: Homo sapiens (human)
Lineage: Eukaryota; Metazoa; Chordata; Mammalia; Primates; Hominidae
Description: FOXF1 adjacent non-coding developmental regulatory RNA
Source: RNAcentral